UACCGUGGGGACAUACUGCCCUCAUAGUUAAGCUCCCCUGAGUCACCACUUGUGGUGCAUCACCAUCCUAAGAUACUAACCAACUUAAUGCUCUGAGCAGGGGUACAAAAUUAGAACACCGAUAAAGCCGAAAGUCAAAUCUCAUUUAGAGUUGAAUAUCAGAAAUAUUGAAAUGUAAAACCCAACCCUGACGAUUUUUCUGAUUUUUAUAUCUGCCACAUGUCACUUCUCUCAUAUCGGAAUUAUUGAAGCAAAUUUUCAUUCCUGGAAUCUGUGGGAAUCUUAUGCCUGACUGACUGACUGUCCUCUCGCCUUGACUUAUUAUUCUUGCAAAGACAGUGAUGCCAAUUGAGUUUCAUCUUGCUAGUAUAGUGGCUGUACCAUUCUGCCAUACCGUUUAAUGACAAAAACACUAAACAGCAAUUCAUUCACUUCACCAUCCAAUAGUGGUUGGCCACAAGAGCUGCCUGCAUUGUCAUGUCUCCCACAUGGCGAGGAGACCAAAGAUCUCACCAUGGCUCCAAGAGGCUGCUCGAUGAAUUAAAAGGCAUCAAAAGCUGUUUUCUUUCCAGUAAAUAACUGUCACCUGAAUGAGCACUAACUAGUCUGGUGAUGAAUAAUAAUGACUCAACUUCCACUUCAAACACACAAAGAAAAGUCUUUUUGAUUCAUUCUCAUUUGCCACACUGUCUUCCCCUAAAUGACAGGAUCAUGUACAACGCAGAAACCUGUCUCAAAAGGAAAAUCAGACCUCUCUAUUCAAGAUGAAAUGCUUUAAUGUGUGAAAAUGAUCUACAUCGCAGUGGUUCUGCUCUAUCUCCUGUUCUCCCUGCCCCCUUCUUUGGCUGUUUUGUAUUUGGGAUUUUUCUAUCAGCCAAUUUAUUUGUUUUUUCUGAUCUCAAGCAUCUAAGCUAAAACAGCUGCCCCCUCCUUUUCUUUAGAAGCAGCAACUUUUCUCGUUCCCUCCCUAUUCAAGAAGCAUUUUAUAUCUUUCUCUUUGAUAUGUUUACAAACUUUGUUACUUUUCUUGUCACCUGUUGGUUAACUCAGCGCACUCCCUUCCCUCC
This is a long non-coding RNA of Trachemys scripta elegans, 1067 nucleotides long. RefSeq lists it as uncharacterized. The transcript has 4 exons. NCBI's taxonomy places the organism in Eukaryota, Metazoa, Chordata, Testudines, Emydidae. The record is from RefSeq and is a predicted model, not a curated record.